GGAUGGUAAGAUUGCUGGAAUCUGUCACGAUGUCUGUUUCCUUGAUUGCACUGUUCUUGUGGUACUGCGUGGGUGGGGGUGACUGGACUCCAUACACAGGCGCACGACCCUGAGCCAAAACCAUUCACACACACCACUUACCGCGUCAGCUGUGAGCUCACAGGCUGUCUAGUGAGGGUGUCCAGUUAGUGAACCGGGUCAGUGGAAACGCUCUGCAGCGCCAUGUGGAUGAGGCCAGGAGCUGUGUUGGGAAGGCUGGGAGGGCAAACCAGAAUCUUCACUUCGUUCCCUCAGAAAGCAAGCGAAUAGGACAGGAUAGUGCCUUGAGAUUACUUGAGUUUCACAAAGGUAAGAGACCUUUUUUUCUAUAAAAGUGAGACUUCUUAAGUACACAAGCUUGCUAAUAGAGGGGUCCUUAAAAGGUCAUUUUUUAUAAGAAAACAAUCCAAAUGUUGAAUAUGAUUUUAGUAUUUUGAACAUUAGUUUUGAGCCUAUUUUAUACAGG
RNAcentral lists this long non-coding RNA (505 nucleotides) under Bos taurus (domestic cattle). Its description in RNAcentral is "long non-coding RNA NONBTAT001616". The record is from RNAcentral. Lineage: Eukaryota; Metazoa; Chordata; Mammalia; Artiodactyla; Bovidae.